Long non-coding RNA from Argentina anserina (silverweed cinquefoil), 1410 nucleotides. RefSeq lists it as uncharacterized. The record is from RefSeq and is a predicted model, not a curated record. NCBI's taxonomy places the organism in Eukaryota, Viridiplantae, Streptophyta, Magnoliopsida, Rosales, Rosaceae. The transcript has 4 exons.
GGGUGGGUAGGUUAUUUUCAAAGUAAUCCGUCUCAGAGAGCUCCUCUCCAUUUUGAUCCAACUCGGCUAUCCGGUUUGGAUUGGAACAAUGGUCUCAGAUCAUGGUAUGGUUCAGUUGUCGGCUGAAGAUGGAUCUUCAUGGUAUGGUUAUCAUGACGAAGUGAAUGAAGCAUCUGAUAUGAGCAAGGAAUGGCAGAGGAGACAUGAUUAAUAUAUAACUCCAUGGGUCAUCGUAUUGGUCAUGUUCAAAAGCCAAGUAUAAUCAGCUGUUCGAUUUCAGGAAGAACAGGAGAGGGCCCUGAAAGCAGGAGCUCUGAAGAAAGCAAAGAGAAGUGCUGAGAAGUCUAAGAAGGGGCCUCAGAGACAAAGGUAGCUAAACAACCUGAUUUGAAGGCAUUAACCAAGGAAACUGUACCCGUUACCACUGUCUCCUCUAUAAGCUUCAGAUGCCAGUGUUUUUAUUACAUGUCUAAUAAGGCACUUUGAAGAUAAUCUAUUCUCAUGGGCAAUUUUAAGCAAUCAGUGUCAAUGGUUGUGAUAAAACUCUUCAUUGAGCAUUUGCUAUCUACUUUGUACAUCAUUGUUGAUUCUCUUGGGAGCUAGUGAUACUGUUCAGUUAAUAAGGAUUAAGGAGUCGUUGUAGUUGCUCUGGGUACAUCUAAAUGUUUAACUUCAAUUUGGACACCUUUCUCACAAGUCCCCUUCUAGCUUUAACUUUAUUUACUGGGGCAGUGCUCUGAUUCCAGUGUAAUAUGGCCUUCAAGCUUAUCUUUGAUGGUCAUCUUGUUCAUUUAUCCUACCUUUUAUAGAUCUAAUUUAUAUAUGAUGGUUUCAGUAGUCAUGUUUACAUUCGUCUGAUGUACUCUGCACUGAUGAUUUUGGCAGAAGCAAGGUGGAAAAGACGUUUGUUUCGUUCUAAAAGAUUUGUAAGCAUUCCAGGUUUGUGGCUCUCACUUCUUUAACAUUCCCUGUGUUUACAUUGACUGAAAGACAUUCUGGUGCUGGUUUGAUUUGCUUAUGAGAUUGUAGAAUUUCAAUUUUACACGCAGUUUGUACCUAAUCUGAACACUUUUUAUCUAUGGGCGCUGAAGUUGCUCCGGAUUACAGGUACUGAUGUGGGCAUCAGUUCUAUUCUCACACUGAAAUGGUUGUCGUUGGUUUCAAGCCACUGGGUGAACGGGAUUGAUUAUAUGGGCCAGUCCUACAAAGUGGUAAUGCAUAUAUCUACCUCUUUCAGCCAGAAUGCUCAAGCACAAACAGUUAUUGAUGAAGCUUAAUUGAUAUCUAUUUGAGGGGCUGUUUUUACCGAGUAUAUAUCGAUUAUUUUCUUAUGUUUUUCUAGUUUGGUAGUCUAAACCAACAGGUGUUGAUUGUUGUUUUCUGGGCUCUUUUGGUGGUCUUGAUUAAUUU